UGGGCGAGCCUGAUCCAGCCAUGCCGCGUGUGUGAUGAAGGUCUUCGGAUUGUAAAGCCCUUUAAGUUGGGAGGAAGGGCACUGAGCUAAUACCUUGCUGUUUUGACGUUACCGACAGAAUAAGCACCGGCUAACUCUGUGCCAGCAGCCGCGGUAAU
This 158-nucleotide ribosomal RNA is filed under the name uncultured bacterium. RNAcentral's name for it is "partial 16S ribosomal RNA". It matches the Rfam family "Bacterial small subunit ribosomal RNA", at positions 372 to 524 of the family's 1533-position model. The record is from RNAcentral.